RNAcentral lists this ribosomal RNA (332 nucleotides) under uncultured eukaryote. RNAcentral describes it as "partial 18S ribosomal RNA". It matches the Rfam family "Eukaryotic small subunit ribosomal RNA", at positions 1470 to 1796 of the family's 1831-position model. The record is from RNAcentral.
CCCUUAGAUGUUCUGGGCUGCACACGCGCUACACUGGCAGGUUCAGCGAGCUUCUUGCCCUGAUCUGAGAAGAAUGGGAAACCUUUUCAACACCUGCCGUGCUUGGGAUAGAUGUUUGCAAUUAUUCAUCUUCAACAAGGAUUGCCUUGUAGGCGUGCCUCAUCAGGGCACUUCGAAUACGACCCUGUAUUCUGUACACACCGCCCGUCGCUCCUACCGAUUGAAGUUUUCGGUGAAUUUGCAGGAGGUUUGCUUUGAAACUGGUUCGCCAGUGGAUUUGUGGACCAAAUGCAUGUGAAUCGAUGGCUUUAGAGGAAGGAGAAGUCGUAACA